UGAAUGUUUUGCUUAUUGUCGUAACCCAUUGCCAUUUAGGGCGUAGGCACACAUUAAGUAUGUAACACUUGAAGGAAUAAACAGACUAACCACAGAAGUUCUGGCUCAUCCCCCCUUGAAGUUUCCUUCAUUUUACCUCCUUCUCCCUUUUUUUCUUUCCUAUUCUGCCUAGCUUUGUGGGUUCAGAACAAAAUGGGGGAGACCCCUCAUAAUGCCUUUGCAGGCUUCCCAAAUUUCUCUUCAUGCCAUAUAAACAAAAAGAAUGCAGAGCAGGGGAAGGAAAGAAUAUUAUUUGUUAAUAUGUGAUAUGAUCAGGCUCCAAAAAGGCUGGGACAGAAGUUUAUAGAGGGAAUACCAAGUCUCAAAAGAAAAAUGCCCAUAAAUGCUGAGAGCCACAGCAGAGUCGGAAUGACGCAUGGCAUUUAUGCCAGAAGGGAGUGGUUGAGAGGUGAAGGCCAGUGAGCCAUUGAGAUGAUGAUGGUUAUGUUAAGCUGUGUAUUCAAUUGUAUAUUAGACCCCUGCUGUCUGACUUGGCCUGCUACUUUGGAGUUCUCAUGGGGAUUCCUGGAGAGUUCGCAUUGGUUGGGGAAGUGCCGGAGGAGGAGGGAUUUCCGGUGUGUGGUGUUCCUGGAAGG
RNAcentral lists this long non-coding RNA (635 nucleotides) under Marmota monax (woodchuck). Lineage: Eukaryota; Metazoa; Chordata; Mammalia; Rodentia; Sciuridae. The record is from RNAcentral.